ACGUGGUCUUCUUGAGAUGACGUUACUCCUACAAUCAUAAUAAGUUAUGUAAAUACAAUAACAAAUAUUCAUCUUAUGUUGUCUUUUCUUUUGUUGUGUGGUAUCGUUUGAUGUCAUCGUCGAUCUUUGCUCAGGAGACCUCUCAUUUUAGACGAGGACUGCUCAGUAUUUUUUCCAUCAGGUCUCUCAUGUAUUAAUUGUGAAUGGUGCUCCGAUGUUUCGUGAUUCCC
This 230-nucleotide long non-coding RNA is filed under the name Elaeis guineensis (African oil palm). Its description in RNAcentral is "long non-coding RNA (EGUI_LNC030930)". The record is from RNAcentral. Lineage: Eukaryota; Viridiplantae; Streptophyta; Magnoliopsida; Arecales; Arecaceae.